CUGGAUGUGGCAAACAUUAAUGGAUUAAUGAGCGGGUUCUUUCAAGCUUUGGAGCUGUGAGCAGACCAUUGUCAAGAAGACUGUAGGACUUUCCUUCUGAUUCACUGUUGUUGACAUCAGUAAUGCAAAUGUAUGAUAAGUGGGAGUUUAAAAUAUUUUCAUUAAGUUGUAUAUUUUUACAUAUCAGUGAGAUAUGUAUAGUAGAAAUGGAAAAGAAAAAGUUUCAAAAACAAGCUUGAAGAAAUGCUGCAGCUUCAGAAGAAAGCUAAGCAGCGUUCUUUAUGGUUGUGCCACCCACACGAGGGAGGAGGUUGACAUCUUUAUAGAAACAUCGUCCACUGU
This 342-nucleotide long non-coding RNA is filed under the name Bos taurus (domestic cattle). Its description in RNAcentral is "long non-coding RNA NONBTAT010586". The record is from RNAcentral. Lineage: Eukaryota; Metazoa; Chordata; Mammalia; Artiodactyla; Bovidae.